UAGGCACAGUAGUCGAACGGUAACAGGGUAGCAAUACCGCUGACGAGUGGCGCACGGGUGCGUAACGCGUAUGCAACUUACCUUAAACUGGGAGAUAGCCCCUCGAAAGAGGGAUUAAUACCCCAUAGUAAUUAGAUGAGGCAUCUCAUUUAGUUUAAAGCUCUGGCGGUUUAAGAUAGGCAUGCGUGACAUUAGCUAGUUGGUUAGGUAAUGGCUCACCAAGGCUACGAUGUCUAGGGGUUCUGAGAGGAUGAUCCCCCACACUAGUACUGAGACACGGACCAGACUCCUACGGGAGGCAGCAGUAAGGAAUAUUGGUCAAUGGGCGCAAGCCUGAACCAGCCAUGCCGCGUGAAGGAUGACGGCCCUAUGGGUUGUAAACUUCUAUUGUACGGGAAUAAACCCAGGUACGUGUACCUGGCUGAAUUUACCGUAAGAAUAAGGAUUGGCUAACUCCGUGCCAGCAGCCGCGGUAAUACGGAGGAUCCAAGCUUUAUCCGGAUUCAAUGGGUUUAAAGGGUGCGUAGGCGGACUUAUAAGUCAGUGGUGAAAUCCCGCAGCUUAACUGCAGAACUGCCAUUGAUACUGUAAGUCUUGAGUGUGUUUGUAGUGGGCGGAAUGUGUCAUGUAGCGGUGAAAUGCUUAGAUAUGACACAGAACACCGAUCGCGUAGGCAGCUCACUAAACCACAACUGACGCUGAGGCACGACAGCGUGGGGAUCAAACAGGAUUAGAUACCCUGGUAGUCCACGCCGUAAACUAUGAUUACUCGAUGUUCACGAUAUACUGUCAGCGUCUAAGCUAAAGCGUUAAGUAAUCCACCUUUGGAGUACGGUCGCAAGAUUGAAACUCAAAGGAAUUGACGGGGGCCCGCACAAGCGGAGGAGCAUGUGGUCCAAUUCGAUGAUACGCGAGGAACCUUACCAGGGCUUGAAAGUUAUUGACCGCUGCCGAAAGGUAGCUUUCCUUCGGGACACGAAACUAGGUGCUGGGUGGCUGUCGUCAGCUCGUGCCGUGAGGUGUUGGGUUAAGUCCCGCAACGAGCGCAACCCCUAUUUCUAGUUGCCAGCGAGUAAUGUCGGGGACUCUAAAGAAACUGCCCGCGUAAGCGUGGUUUAAGGUGGGGAUGACGUCAAGUCAGCACGACCCUUACGUCCUGGGCAUAUCACAAAUCAUACAAUGGACGAGACAGUGGGCAGCUACAUAGUAAUAUGAUGCUAAUCUCCAAACUCGUUCUCAGUUCGGAUUGAGGUCUGCAACUCGACCUUAUGAAGCUGGAUUCGCUAGUAAUCGGAUAUCAGCAAUGAUCCGGUGAAUACGUUCCCGGGUUCAGGGUACACACCGCCCGUCAAACAAUGGAAGCUAGAGGUACCUGAAGUCGAUAACCGCAAGGAGUCGCCACGAUAGAGGACCAUUUACCCAGAUGAG
Molecule: ribosomal RNA, 1428 nt
Filed under: uncultured Bacteroidota bacterium
Lineage: Bacteria; Pseudomonadati; Bacteroidota
Description: bacterial SSU rRNA
Rfam family: Bacterial small subunit ribosomal RNA
Source: RNAcentral